Molecule: long non-coding RNA, 289 nt
Organism: Ochotona princeps (American pika)
Lineage: Eukaryota; Metazoa; Chordata; Mammalia; Lagomorpha; Ochotonidae
Exons: 2
Source: RefSeq, a predicted model, not a curated record
CACAACCCUUCACUCCCGGGACUCGUCGGAACCGCCCAAGACGGAACCGCCACGGCCGCCACCCUGUUCGGCUCCGGCUCGCUCCGGGCUUCCUCGGGCUUUGACCGCCGCGUCCUGACGUCACACGGAGGCCUGUCCCCGCCCCCGCGUACGGCCAAUGGGAGCCGCCAGACGGGCUUGGGCCCGCCCACGCGGUGACGGGAGGGGCGCUUGCAGGCAAGCCGGAAGACAGCAUUCUGUGUAUUCUAGCAGGGUAAAACAAAGAUGAAGCAAGUGUAUGAACUCACCU